GACGAACGCUGGCGGCGUGCUUAACACAUGCACGUCGAACGAAGUGGCGAACGGGUGAGUAACGCGUAAUCAACCUGCCCUUCAGAGGGGGACAACAGUUGGAAACGACUGCUAAUACCGCAUACUGAAGGAGGGGAUUGCGUCUGAUUAGGUAGUUGGAGGGGUAACGGCCCACCAAGGCGAUGAUCAGUAGCCAGACGGAGAGGAUGAACGGCAACAGUGGGACUGAGACAAGGCCCAGACGCCUAAGGGAGGCAGCAGUGGGGAAUCUUUCGCAAUGGGAGAAAGUCUGACGGAGCAACGCCGCGUGAGGGAUGACAGCCUUCGGGUUGUAAAGCUCUGUUAAUCGGGACGCGGUACCGGAAUAGAAAGCCACGGCUAACUACGUGCCAGCCGCCGCGGUAAUUC
Molecule: ribosomal RNA, 408 nt
Filed under: uncultured bacterium
Lineage: Bacteria
Description: partial 16S ribosomal RNA
Rfam family: Bacterial small subunit ribosomal RNA
Source: RNAcentral